RNAcentral lists this ribosomal RNA (477 nucleotides) under uncultured bacterium. Its description in RNAcentral is "bacterial SSU rRNA". It matches the Rfam family "Bacterial small subunit ribosomal RNA", at positions 330 to 799 of the family's 1533-position model. The record is from RNAcentral.
UGCGAACUCCUACGGGAGGCAGCAGUGGGGAAUCUUCCGCAAUGGACGAAAGUCUGACGGAGCAACGCCGCGUGAGUGAUGACGGCCUUCGGGUUGUAGAGCUCUGUUAAUCGGGACGAAAGGUCCUCUUGCGACUAGUUAGAGGAAUUGACGGUACCGGAAUAGAAAGCCACGGCUAACUACGUGCCAGCAGCCGCGGUAAUACGUAGGUGGCAAGCGUUGUCCGGAAUUAUUGGGCGUAAAGCGCGCGCAGGCGGAUCAGUCAGUCUGUCUUAAAAGUUCGGGGCAUAACCCCGUGAUGGGAUGGAAACUGCUGGUCUAGAAUAGCGGAGAGGAAAGUGGAAUUCCUAGUGUAGCGGUGAAGUGCGUAGAUAUUAGGAAGAACACCAGUGGCGAAGGCGACUUUCUGGACGAAAACUGACGCUGAGGCGCGAAAGCCAGGGGAGCGAACGGGAUUAGAUACCCUUGUAGUCCUAG